CAGCCCUUGACAUGGGGCGUACGACCUUGGGAGACCGGGGUCAUCAGUUCGGCUGGCGCCCACACAGGUGCUGCAUGGCUGUCGUCAGCUCGUGUCGUGAGAUGUUGGGUUAAGUCCCGCAACGAGCGCAACCCUCAUCUUCAGUUGCCAUCGGUUCGGCCGGGCACUCUGGAGAAACUGCCGGUGACAAGCCGGAGGAAGGCGGGGAUGACGUCAAGUCCUCAUGGCCCUUACGGGCUGGGCUACACACGUGCUACAAUGGCGGUGACAGCGGGGAGCGAUGGGGCGACCCGGAGCCAAUCCCGAAAAGCCGUCUCAGUUCGGAUUGCACUCUGCAACUCGAGUGCAUGAAGGUGGAAUCGCUAGUAAUCGCGGAUCAGCACGCCGCGGUGAAUACGUUCCCGGGCCUUGUACACACCGCCCGUCACACCAUGGGAGUUGGCUUGACCCGAAGCCGGUGCGCUAACCCGCAAGGGAGGCAGCCGACCACGGUCAGGUCAGCGACUGGGGUG
Molecule: ribosomal RNA, 512 nt
Filed under: uncultured bacterium
Lineage: Bacteria
Description: bacterial SSU rRNA
Rfam family: Bacterial small subunit ribosomal RNA
Source: RNAcentral